GAGGGUAUAGCUGAGUGGUAGAACACGUACCUAGCAUGUACAAGGUCCUGGGUUCAAUCUCCAGUACCUCCA
Molecule: transfer RNA, 72 nt
Filed under: Camelus bactrianus (Bactrian camel)
Lineage: Eukaryota; Metazoa; Chordata; Mammalia; Artiodactyla; Camelidae
Also listed under: 2 other names
Rfam family: tRNA
About the family: Transfer RNA (tRNA) molecules are approximately 80 nucleotides in length. Their secondary structure includes four short double-helical elements and three loops (D, anti-codon, and T loops).
Source: Rfam by way of RNAcentral